GACUGCUAAUACCGAAUACGCUUGGAAGACCGCAUGAUCUUCCAAGGGAAAGGGUGGCCUCUACCUGCAAGCUAUCGCCUGAAGAGGGGUUUGCGUCUGACUAGGCAGUUGGUGAGGUAACGGCCCACCAAACCUACGAUCAGUAGCCGGUCUGAGAGGAUGAACGGCCACACUGGAACUGAGACACGGUCCAAACUCCUACGGGAGGCAGCAGUGAGGAAUAUUGGUCAAUGGACGAGAGUCUGAACCAGCCAAGUAGCGUGCAGGAUGACGGCCCUAUGGGUUGUAAACUGCUUUUAUAAGGGAAUAAAGUGAGUCUCGUGAGAUUUUUUGCAUGUACCUUAUGAAUAAGGACCGGCUAAUUCCGUGCCAGCAGCCGCGGUAAUACGGAAGGUCCGGGCGUUAUCCGGAUUUAUUGGGUUUAAAGGGAGCGUAGGCCGGAGAUUAAGCGUGUUGUGAAAUGUAGAUGCUCAACAUCUGCACUGCAGCGCGAACUGGUUUCCUUGAGUACGCACAAAGUGGGCGGAAUUCGUGGUGUAGCGGUGAAAUGCUUAGAUAUCACGAAGAACUCCGAUUGCGAAGGCAGCUCACUGGAGCGCAACUGACGCUGAAGCUCGAAAGUGC
This 624-nucleotide ribosomal RNA is filed under the name uncultured bacterium. RNAcentral describes it as "bacterial SSU rRNA". It matches the Rfam family "Bacterial small subunit ribosomal RNA", at positions 158 to 762 of the family's 1533-position model. The record is from RNAcentral.